RNAcentral lists this non-coding RNA (166 nucleotides) under uncultured Ureibacillus sp. The record is from RNAcentral. Lineage: Bacteria; Bacillati; Bacillota; Bacilli; Caryophanales; Caryophanaceae.
AAGGUUCUUAUUACGAUUUUGUAAUAAGAGUAAAAGGGAAGUCGGUGAAAUUCCGACGCUGUCCCGCAACUGUAAAUGGGAGCUUGCCUUAUAAUCCACUGUUACAAAGUAAUGGGAAGGAAGGUACUGCGAUGAACAUAAGCCAGGAGACCUGCCUUUAUGCUUU